ACAGAUGCUAAUACCGGAUAACAACACUAGACACAUGUCUAGAGUUUGAAAGAUGGUUCUGCUAUCACUCUUGGAUGGACCUGCGGUGCAUUAGCUAGUUGGUAAGGUAACGGCUUACCAAGGCAAUGAUGCAUAGCCGAGUUGAGAGACUGAUCGGCCACAUUGGGACUGAGACACGGCCCAAACUCCUACGGGAGGCAGCAGUAGGGAAUCUUCCACAAUGGACGAAAGUCUGAUGGAGCAACGCCGCGUGAGUGAAGAAGGGUUUCGGCUCGUAAAGCUCUGUUGGUAGUGAAGAAAGAUAGAGGUAGUAACUGGCCUUUAUUUGACGGUAAUUACUUAGAAAGUCACGGCUAACUACGUGCCAGCAGCCGCGGUAAUACGUAGGUGGCAAGCGUUGUCCGGAUUUAUUGGGCGUAAAGCGAGUGCAGGCGGUUCAAUAAGUCUGAUGUGAAAGCCUUCGGCUCAACCGGAGAAUUGCAUCAGAAACUGUUGAACUUGAGUGCAGAAGAGGAGAGUGGAACUUCAUGUGUAGCGGUGGAAUGCGUAGAUAUAUGGAAGAACACCAGUGGCGAAGGCGGCUCUCUGGUCUGCAACUGACGCUGAGGCUCGAAAGCAUGGGUAGCGAACAGGAUUAGAUACCCUGGUAGUCCAUGCCGUAAACGAUGAGUGCUAGUGUUGGGAGGUUUCCGCCUCUCAGUGCUGCAGCUAACGCAUUAAGCACUCCGCCUGGGGAGUACGACCGCAAGGUUGAAACUCAAAGGAAUUGACGGGGGCCCGCACAAGCGGUGGAGCAUGUGGUUUAAUUCGAAGCAACGCGAAGAACCUUACCAGGUCUUGACAUCCAGUGCAAACCUAAGAGAUUAGGUGUUCCCUUCGGGGACGCUGAGACAGGUGGUGCAUGGCUGUCGUCAGCUCGUGUCGUGAGAUGUUGGGUUAAGUCCCGCAACGAGCGCAACCCUUGUCAUUAGUUGCCAUCAUUAAGUUGGGCACUCUAAUGAGACUGCCGGUGACAAACCGGAGGAAGGUGGGGAUGACGUCAAGUCAUCAUGCCCCUUAUGACCUGGGCUACACACGUGCUACAAUGGACGGUACAACGAGAAGCGAACCUGCGAAGGCAAGCGGAUCUCUUAAAGCCGUUCUCAGUUCGGACUGUAGGCUGCAACUCGCCUACACGAAGCUGGAAUCGCUAGUAAUCGCGGAUCAGCACGCCGCGGUGAAUACGUUCCCGGGCCUUGCACACACCGCCCGUCA
Molecule: ribosomal RNA, 1254 nt
Filed under: uncultured bacterium
Lineage: Bacteria
Description: bacterial SSU rRNA
Rfam family: Bacterial small subunit ribosomal RNA
Source: RNAcentral